This 77-nucleotide microRNA precursor is filed under the name Eptesicus fuscus (big brown bat). RNAcentral's name for it is "microRNA efu-mir-9201a precursor (efu-mir-9201a-4)". It matches the Rfam family "mir-574 microRNA precursor family". Lineage: Eukaryota; Metazoa; Chordata; Mammalia; Chiroptera; Vespertilionidae. The record is from miRBase by way of RNAcentral.
AGGGGCCUGGAGAGAGAGGCAGGGUCUGAUCCGCAGCCUCUGUUGAUCAGCUGUUGCCUCUCUCUUUCUCUCCAGGC